UCCUGGCUCAGGAUGAACGCUGGCGGUCUGCUUAACACAUGCAAGUCGAACGCAACCUUCGGGUUGAGUGGCGGACGGGUGAGUAACGCGUGAGAAUCUGCCUUGGGGUCGGGGACAACCACUGGAAACGGUGGCUAAUACCGGAUAAGCCUUUGGGUAAAAAAUUUAUUGCCCCAAGAGGAGCUCGCGUCUGAUUAGCUAGUUGGUGAGGUAAGAGCUCACCAAGGCAGCGAUCAGUAGCUGGUCUGAGAGGACGAUCAGCCACACUGGGACUGAGACACGGCCCAGACUCCUACGGGAGGCAGCAGUGGGGAAUUUUCCGCAAUGGGCGAAAGCCUGACGGAGCAAGACCGCGUGAGGGAGGAAGGCUCUUGGGUUGUAAACCUCUUUUCUCAGGGAAGAAGCUCUGACGGUACCUGAGGAAUCAGCCUCGGCUAACUCCGUGCCAGCAGCCGCGGUAAUACGGAGGAGGCAAGCGUUAUCCGGAAUUAUUGGGCGUAAAGCGUCCGCAGGUGGCGAUUCAAGUCUGCUGUCAAAGCACGGGGCUUAACUCCGUUAGGGCAGUGGAAACUGAAUAGCUAGAGUGCCGUAGGGGUAGAGGGAAUUCCCGGUGUAGCGGUGAAAUGCGUAGAGAUCGGGAAGAACAUCGGUGGCGAAAGCGCUCUACUGGACGGCAACUGACACUCAGGGACGAAAGCUAGGGGAGCGAAUUGGGAUUAGAUACCCCAGUAGUCCUAGCUGUAAACGAUGGAUACUAAGGUGUAGCUUGUAUCGACCCGAGCUGUGCCG
RNAcentral lists this ribosomal RNA (789 nucleotides) under uncultured organism. RNAcentral's name for it is "bacterial SSU rRNA". It matches the Rfam family "Bacterial small subunit ribosomal RNA", at positions 17 to 848 of the family's 1533-position model. The record is from RNAcentral.